UUUCUAAUUCCUUCUUUUUUUCUGCCUGCCUUUGGCAAAUUCUUAGAUUCUUCUGUGUCUCAGAAGAAAUUAUAGAUUCUUGUAGUCUUUGAAAAGUUUUUGAAAAUGUGUAUGGGUAUUUAUGAUUGCUAUAGAUUGCACCAUUUAGCAAAUAACUUUUGGCAAAAUGGGUUGAAUACUCUUACUAGUUUUUGUUGGAUGGAUUAGGAUACCAUCUUUUCCUUUUAUUUGUGUGCGCACAGCAGAAACACAGGUUCGUGCAUUUGGUGUUCAACCUGACAAUUAACAUUGAUAAAUCUUUUGGAAACGUCAAUCCAUAUCCCCCUUUUCAGUCUCAAUAUGGUUGAAGGAUCUUGCUUUUACUAAGGCUUUUUUGUUCUUAAUAGUAAAUGGCAACGUGAAAGUGCAUAUCGCAUUUCAAUCUUUGCAUUCACAUCUCCAGUCAUUUACCUUUAUUAUUAUUAUUAUUAUUAUUUUUGCAUCGCUGCAUUUGAUGUUGUCCAUUUUAAUGGUUGCCAAUUUUGAAGGGAAAAAUAUGUUCUGGCCAAUGAAAUUUUUAUUUGUUUGUGUGACUUAAAAGCAAUCUUUGUUUACCAUCUUCUCCUAUUUACUCUCUGAACUUUUAUCCAAUGUGGCCUUACUUAUUAUUUGUAAAAUUUGGUCAAAAUAAUUUCUUUAGCUCUACAAUUAAUUCAGAUUUAAUUGUUGAUAACAAUUAGUUGCAUGAUCUGCUGAGAAGUGGAGACCCAUAACUCCAUCCAAUUUGAGAAGUAAACGCGUUUAUGUAGUUGUGACGAGUUCUCUUGAUUAGGUUACCAUGGCCCAUAGUAAACCUGGGACAUGUUGGGGUUCCAGUGCCUGAAAUAUAGUGUAUUUGUCGGCAUGUUCAUAUGUACAAUGUACGUAGUUGGACUCAACUAAAUGUAUAUAGUGUGCAAAAGUAUGUAAUUUCCUUUAUGUAUAUAGUGUGCAAAAGUAUGUAAUUUCCUUUUCUAUUUUGGUUUCAGGCAAAAAUUUCAACCUCGUGACCACGAAGCUUAAGGUGGUUUAAUGCCAUCAUGACAUUUUCUUUGGCAUGUUGUCUACAUGGACAACCCUUGUUAUAUCUCAUUGUAAUUCUAUAGAGAUAACCAUUUAGAGAAGGAAAUCUUUAUGUUUCAUAUGUUCUUAGAGCAGUCCUAAUUCCUUGAGAAAUUAUCACUUUUAAUAUCAUUUCCCAAGUUCAAUUUCUAUUUCUAAAGUUGUACUUCAUCGUAUUCACUAAUCAAAUCAAUUUAUGUCUCUCGAGUUCAAAUUAAUCUUAUCUAGUUGAGUUAACUAAUUAUAUUUCUUCGUGAAGUUGAAUAAGUAGUCUCCCCUAAUUAAAUGCAUUAAAUCAUUAGGAAUUCAAUUAAAGGCUGCAAUAAUAAUAAAAAUAUAUUUCUACCUUUUACCCAACUGUCGUAUCUUACUAUUUGAUCUAAAUUUAUUACUCACAUCUUGAUUGUUACAAUUCAAAAAUUAUGAAUUCGUGAUCAUAUAAUUCAAGCAUUAAAAGCAAAAGUAGAAUCAAUACUUCAAUCACUCAACGAUGCAAAUAUCAAGAAUUGAAAUAGAUAGUCAAAUUUAGGUUAUAUCUUUUCUCUCAACUAAUAGUUUAAUUACUUAUCAUAGAAGAAGAAGAGCACAUAAGUAUUUUAGAAUACAUGAUUGGAUUUUAUGAAAAAAAAGAGAGGAUGAAUAUUUUGUAUCAAGAACUCGACUUCACGCUGAAAUCUUGAAACCUCAACUUUCUUGAUCUCUAAUCUUUGUAUGUGAAGGAGUUUAUUGCAGUUUUUUGUUAGAAUAAUUUUCUCGUCUACAAGAAAAGUCCUAGUCUUUAUAGACAUCUACUUGUAUUUGAACUUGGCUUUAUUUUUGCUAAGUGGGUUGCUUUCUCGUUUCUGUUGCGAUUGUGUAUUGAAUGGUUAUUUAAGCCAAAGUUAUUGUUAAUAAAACUAAGUCAUUCAAUCCAGCUUUUUGUGUUUCUAUUCUUAGAUCAAAGUUCCCAACAAUCUGGUAUAAGAGCCCCCACUGGGCUUGACAAAUCAAAGUAGCAGUCUUUGAAAUUUUUGCAGCAGCACAGAAGAUGACUACAGAAGGGAGUUUUAUGCAGCUAGCCAUUCAUCGCUUUGAUGGUCACUAUGACCAUUGGAGCAUGCUGAUGGAAAUUUUUUUAAGAUCUAAGGAAUUUUGGAGGCUGGUGGAGUGUGGCUAUAUUGAGCCAGCAAGUGUAUCGGUGCAAAUAGAUGCACAGCGAAAGAAGAAUAAUGAGAUGCAGCUGAAGGACCUAAAAGUGAAGAACUAUCUCUUCCAGGCGAUCGAUUAGACCGUUCUCGACACCAUUCUCAAGAAGAAUACUGCCAAAGAUAUAUGGGACGCUAUGAAUUUUUUUUUUUGAAGGAAAUGCAAGGGUCAAGAGGUCUCAAUCUUCAAGCUUUCCGCAAAGAAUUUGAAACUCUUGAGAUGAGGUCCGGUGAAAAGGUGACAGAGUACUUUUCUAGGGUCAUGACAAUGGUCAACAAGAUGCGAAUUUAUGGAGAAGAUAUGCAGGAUGUUAAAGUGGUGGAGAAAAUUUCAUGCUCUUUAACUGAGAAGUUCAACUAUGUUGUAUGUUCUAUCGAGGAGUCAAAGGACAUUGAUGCUCUUACUAUUGACGAGUUACAAAGCUCAUUAAUAGUGCAUGAACAGAAGUUUCAGAGACGUAAUGGUGAGGAACAGGCUUUGAAAGUGACAUCUGAAGGAAGAAGAGGUCGUGGUACCUAUAGAGGAAGAUGAAGAGGGAGAGGUCGAGCAGACUUCAACAAGGUAAUUGUGGAGUGUUACCGAUGCCAUCAACUUGGACACUUUCAGUAUGAAUGUCCUUCUGGGAACAAAGAAGCAAAUUAUGCAGAGCUUGAUGAGGGAGAAGAAAUGCUUUUGAUGUCUUAUGUGGAGUUGUAUAAGGCCAGAAGAGAAGAUGCAUGGUUCCUUGAUUCAGGGUGUUCUAAUCAUAUGUGCUGGGAUUGAACUAUGUUCAAUGAAUUCGAUGAAAAAUUUCAACAUUCGAUAAAAUUGGGGAACAACACUUAGAUGGAUGUGAUGGGAAAGGGAAGUGUUAAGCUGCUGCUGAAUGGAGUCAAUCAUGUUAUUGCUGAGGUAUACUAUAUUCCAGAAUUGAGAAAUAAUCUCUUGAGCAUAGGGCAGUUGCAAGAAAGAGGCUUGGCUAUUUUGAUCAAGAGAGGGAUGUGUAAGAUAUUACAUCCAGAGAAGGGUUUAAUAAUUCAAACUAACAUGAGUGCCAACUGGAUGUUUAUCUUGCUGCCUCAGUCUUAAGCUCCCUCUCAAGUACAAUCGGAUCAGUGCUUUUGCUCAAGAACUCAAAACGUUUUUCAUCUUUGGCAUCGAAGGUAUUGGCAUCUAAGUUACAAGGGUUUGAGAACCUUGUUGUACAAGAACAUGGUAUGUGGACUUCCUCAACUCUCCACCUCAAGUGUGACAUGCACUUAUUGCAUUAAGGGGAAGCAACAUCAUGACCCUAUUCCAAAGAAGAGUACUUGGAGAGAAACUCAGAAGUUGGAGCUUAUUCAUGCAGAUAUUUGUGGUCCGAUCACUCCUACAUCUAAUAGCAAAAAGAGGUACAUUUUGUUAUUCAUUGAUGAUUACAGUAGAAAAGCAUGGGUGUAUUUCUUGGUGGAGAAGUCGAAGGCUUUAAAUUCUUUUAAAUGCUUUAAGAUUAUGAUUGAAAAAGAAACAUAGUUAUUUGUUAAGUGUUUUCAAACUGAUAGAGAAGGAGAAUUCAAUUCAAAUGAGUUCAAUGAUUUUUGCAAACAAAGUGGUAUCAAGAGGCAACUGACCAUCACUUAUACUCCACAACAAAAUAGUGUAGCUGAAAGGAAAAAUGGAACUGUGAUGAACAUGGUUCGUUCCAUGUUAUCUAACAAGAACAUUCCCAAGACUUUUUGGCUGGAGGCAGUGAACUGGACUAUUUAUGUCCUAAACAGGUGUCCUACAUUGGUAGUCAAGGAUGUUACACCAGAGGAGGCUUGGAGUGGAGUGAAACCCUCGGUAGAUAAUUUUCAGGUCUUUGGCUGCAUAGCACACGUUCAUGUUCUAGAAGAAACGAGGACUAAACUUGAUAAUAGAAGCAUUACUUGUGUGCUAUUGGGAGUUAGUGAGGAAUCAAAAGGUUAUAGGCUAUUCGAUCAUGUUGGUAAGAGAGUUGUUGUGAGUAGAGAUGUAAUUUUUGAAGAAGCUCAACCUUGCAAAACUUGAUAUUAUAUGUGCACUAGAAUUGAGUCUGACACUAUGAUGAAAUGAGUUAAUUCAUUUGUUAGACAUGUUUAUUUAAUUGGACAUAGAUGCUUUACCUAAACCAUAAUAAAUUAUCUAUCCUUAGACCAAAUUUAGACAGUUUAGGGGUCAUUUUACAGUUGUAGGAAGAUAUGGAUGUGAAUGUGGAUUCCAUGUAUGAAAAUUUAUGUGUGGAUUGUCUUAGACUAACAUGAUAAAACGAGACGAAAGUCUUAAGUUGGAGGUCAGUUUAUUUGAUAAGUGUGUAAAAUGGACAUCGCACUAAUCAAGACAUAUACAUUUGAAAUAAAAAAAAUUCUCUUUGAAGUCUUCAUGACUCGAGUAAUUAAGCCUGCAAGUGUAUCUUAAAACCUGGUGCCCUAAAGUCAUCUGACUUGGAAGUUAUCGGCUUAAAGCUCGCUACAUGGGUCAUUUAGAAGGUAAUAAAAGAUGAAGCUGCACUUGAAACAAAAAUUGGUUCUCUUCGAAGCCUUUUUGACUUGGGUCAGUAAGCUUGUAAGGGUGUUUAAAACUUGGUGCCCUAAAAUCAUCUGAUUUGAGAGUCAUCGGCUUAAUCCCCUGCUACAGGGGUCAUCUAGAAAGUUUAAUGGAGAGAAUGCAAUAAAAAGAAGAAGAAGUGAAAAAUAGAAAAAGUAAGUGCAUGAAAAGAGAAAAAGCACUAAAUACCUUGGUUAAGCCCUAACACUUAUUUGAGAGAAUUUGACUUUUGAAGCAAGAUAAUUAGUUAGUUGAGUCUUGGAGGUUGAAGCAAUCAAAUAAUUGGAGAAUCCUUGUUCAUUGAAAUGUUAACUUGCAAUUAAUAACGUCCACCUAAAGUCGAGAGGGUGAGGAUGGUAAUGAAAUAUUCAACCUUAGGUUAUACAUUGGGAAUGAGUGAAAAAGUGUAAGUUUGGGAGUGUGUGAAUCACACGAGAAAUGUAAGGAUAUAUUUAACCACAGAGGGUCGGGAAUUGAAACAACUUGUACAGUCAUGUUUGAUUUCUUAAUUCUUAACACCCACCCACACACACACACACACACACAUCGAUUUUGCACUUGAAGAGUAGAUAUCGAUCUGAUAUUGUGACUUUAAAGCAUGUUUGUGGAAUAAAUAUCAAAAUCUCGAACCUGAGGUAAAAAGCUUGAUUGUCCAAUCAAUUAUCUUUUGCAUGCUUAUGUGUUCAUAGUCAUUUAGAUGAUAGUUUUGUUUGAGAACAAACAAUUGUUUAAGUUCGAGGGUAUUUGAUAAGUGUAUUUUAUACAUUUAUUCAAAACUUUAAAAUGAUGAUAUUUAGUUGCUUCUUGAAUGAAUUAUGGUCUAAUUUAUUGUAUUUUGUGUUGAAUAGGUAAAAUUCAAUAACGGUGCAAGAAAUUGAAGAAAGAAGCAAAGUGAGCAAAAUUGGAGAAAAUGACUAAAUUGUAAGAGAUCCAAAGUUCAGGGACUAAAGUUCAAAUACUCAAAAGUUGUAUCGAACCUCACGAUGAAGAUCCAAGAGUGUUAAGAGUCAAUUAGAUGAAGAAAGAUAUCAAAUAGAUCAAAUUUAGGCAAAAUAUGAUCACAAAUCAAUUUCCAACCGAAAAGUUAUGCCCCGAAAUUUCAGCCUGACAUUGAGACCCGCUUUUGACAUAGAAAAUACUCGAAUUGGAGAAUGAUGUUUGAAGAAAAGUUGUAGCCCUUUUUCCAACACAACUUGAAUCGCCUUAAUCGAACAUCGGAAGAGAAAGUUAUGACAAAAAUAUUAAAUGAGGUGCUGUCUGAGGCGCCGCGGCGCCACCACAUGGCGCUGCAGCGCCACUCCCUAUAUGUGACGCAACGCUGUGGCACCAAAUUCCAGGCGCCACAACGCACCAAUCCGUUAGCUAAGCUUAAUAUAGGCCCAAUUGAAGUCCAGAUGAAAACCCUACCUUCUACACACGACAAAUGAGAUGUAAAAAGGAAUUUUUCAGAGACUUGAAGGGGAUUCACACGUUGGGUUGCAAGAGGCACACUUGGAGAUUAAAGAGAAGAAUUCAAGAGAGAAAAAUAAGAAGAAAUUCAAGGGUCGAAGCAUAAAUUGGAAGGGGAGGAAGAUCUUGGUGCAAGAUUGAUUUCUUAUUCAAAACCUGAUGAUGUUGUCCAUAAUAAUUUCUUCUUUUUCUUUCAUUACUAUGAGUAGUUAAAUCUAACUUUAGGG
This 6464-nucleotide long non-coding RNA is filed under the name Olea europaea subsp. europaea. The record is from RNAcentral. Lineage: Eukaryota; Viridiplantae; Streptophyta; Magnoliopsida; Lamiales; Oleaceae.